CCUCCCUCUUGGCAUGCUCGUGGUUUUCUGUACCCUUGUGUGUAUGUACGGAGGAAUAAAAGAGCCAGUGUAUGUCUUCGGUGCCAGCGUGUUCCCCAUCGGCUGGUUCUAUCCUCAAUCACUGGGACAUGU
Molecule: small nucleolar RNA, 132 nt
Organism: Carassius auratus (goldfish)
Lineage: Eukaryota; Metazoa; Chordata; Actinopteri; Cypriniformes; Cyprinidae
Product: small nucleolar RNA SNORA57
Source: Ensembl